RNAcentral lists this transfer RNA (71 nucleotides) under Phrynosoma platyrhinos (Desert horned lizard). Its description in RNAcentral is "tRNA-OTHER". Lineage: Eukaryota; Metazoa; Chordata; Lepidosauria; Squamata; Phrynosomatidae. The record is from RNAcentral.
AAGUUGGUGGCGUAGUGGUUUGAGUGUUGGACUAUGACUCUGGAGACCAGGGUUCAAUUCCUUCUCACUUG